AUACAGCAGCGGCUCGUAAGCAUUAUUUAUGGGAAGUGAAUUUCUUGUCAGCAGUUAAUAACCUGCACAGAGUGGAAGGGGAAUGGAGGGAAGAUGGCGAUUACGUACAGAGAACAAUUAUUCUGCAGUGGAGAAGUACUCUGUUUUGGACUAUGCUGAGGCUUCCCUUUCAGCAGUGACCACGUUUCCCUCUGAGCCCUUCCAGGGCAGCUCCUACCUCUAUCCCAAGUCCCUGAAUCCUCAAGGCGCUCAGCCACAGCCCACCCUCUCUUACAGGCAUAGGCGGACAGGAGGGCAGCACACAGCAGUCAGUCAGAGCCAGCCCCAGAGCGCAUGCUCUCCUGAUGCCCAUCAUCUUUUAAACAGUGACAGGCGACAGGGUCUCUUUCUGAGCUCAUGGUCUAAAGCUCUCCAUGAACCAGAGUGAACUCAGCUCUCGAGGAAGGACCCAUCUAAAGGGACUUUUAUCCUGGAAUUGGUCAAGGAACUACAUGUUGUUACACAACUGAGAAAGAACUCAGGUCUAUAGUGAACUCUACUUAGAGACCCGGUCUCCCCGUCAGGGUGUGAAGCUAACUGAGACACUUUGAUGGUACAGCUGCCCACAGUGAGAGGCACGGGC
Molecule: long non-coding RNA, 622 nt
Filed under: Rattus norvegicus (Norway rat)
Lineage: Eukaryota; Metazoa; Chordata; Mammalia; Rodentia; Muridae
Description: long non-coding RNA NONRATT017639
Source: RNAcentral